GACCUAAUAGUGAAAUUGGCAUCGCACCCACUCCUGCUGGUGCGAAUCCGUGCGUGGCUAUGGAAGUCCCUCGUUCGAACCGAGGUUAGGUUG
This is a non-coding RNA of Mycena rebaudengoi, 93 nucleotides long. NCBI's taxonomy places the organism in Eukaryota, Fungi, Basidiomycota, Agaricomycetes, Agaricales, Mycenaceae. The record is from the annotation of a GenBank genome assembly.